AAUUAUAUACUAAGACCAAGUAAUAUUUUUUAUUCAAACCAAAAGAGACAUGAACAAAAAUAGUUGGAGAAUAGAAAUAGUUGAAAAAUAAUUAUAACAAUGUAAGAGUAUAUAAGUACAUAAAUAAUCAAAAUAAAACAUCAUUAGCAAUUUCUAUUUCGGAUCUUAUUUAUAGAAAAAAAUCAUUUUUUAAAAUUUAUUCAAUAAUUAAUAUUCUUGAUCUAUAUUUAAUUUAGAUACAUUUCUUGAUAAUUGAAG
Molecule: long non-coding RNA, 258 nt
Filed under: Lathyrus oleraceus (garden pea)
Lineage: Eukaryota; Viridiplantae; Streptophyta; Magnoliopsida; Fabales; Fabaceae
Description: Pisum sativum (pea) long non-coding RNA (PSAT_LNC009708)
Source: RNAcentral